RNAcentral lists this ribosomal RNA (478 nucleotides) under uncultured Planctomycetales bacterium. Its description in RNAcentral is "bacterial SSU rRNA". It matches the Rfam family "Bacterial small subunit ribosomal RNA", at positions 364 to 832 of the family's 1533-position model. Lineage: Bacteria; Pseudomonadati; Planctomycetota; Planctomycetia; Planctomycetales. The record is from RNAcentral.
UUUCGCAAUGCCCGAAAGGGUGACGAAGCGACGCCGCGUGUGGGAAGAAGGCCUUCGGGUUGUAAACCGCUGUUGGGAGUUAGGAAGUGUGGGAGUGUUAAUAGCGCUUCCACUUGACUAAAGCUCCAGAGGAAGCCACGGCUAACUCUGUGCCAGCAGCCGCGGUAAUACAGAGGCGGCAAGCGUUGUUCGGAAUUAUUGGGCGUAAAGAGCACGUAGGCGGCUCUGCAAGUCAGCUGUGAAAGCCUUCUGCUUGACGGAAGAACAGCAGUUGAAACUACAGGGCUUGAGUGCGGGAGGGGAGAGUGGAACUUCUGGUGGAGCGGUGAAAUGCGUAGAUAUCAGAAGGAACGCCGGCGGCGAAAGCGGCUCUCUGGUCCGUAACUGACGCUGAGUGUGCGAAAGCUAGGGGAGCAAACGGGAUUAGAUACCCCGGUAGUCCUAGCCGUAAACGAUGGGCACUAAGUAGAGGGGUUUU